GAUGAACGCUGGCGGCGUGCCUAAUACAUGCAAGUCGAGCGAACAGACGAGGAGCUUGCUCCUCUGACGUUAGCGGCGGACGGGUGAGUAACACGUGGCUAACCUACCUAUAAGACUGGGAUAACUUCGGGAAACCGGAGCUAAUACCGGAUAAUAUAUUGAACCGCAUGGUUCAAUAGUGAAAGACGGUUUUGCUGUCCCUUAUAGAUGGAUCCGCGCCGCAUUAGCUAGUUGGUAAGGUAACGGCUUACCAAGGCAACGAUGCGUAGCCGACCUGAGAGGAUGAUCGGCCACACUGGAACUGAGACACGGUCCAGACUCCUACGGGAGGCAGCAGUAGGGAAUCUUCCGCAAUGGGCGAAAGCCUGACGGAGCAACGCCGCGUGAGUGAUGAAGGUCUUCGGAUCGUAAAACUCUGUUAUUAGGGAAGAACAAAUGUGUAAGUAACUAUGCACGUCUUGACGGUACCUAAUCAGAAAGCAACGGCUAACUACGUG
RNAcentral lists this ribosomal RNA (497 nucleotides) under uncultured bacterium. RNAcentral's name for it is "partial 16S ribosomal RNA". It matches the Rfam family "Bacterial small subunit ribosomal RNA", at positions 28 to 507 of the family's 1533-position model. The record is from RNAcentral.